GCCGGGCGUGGUGGCCCUCGCCUGUAAUCCCAGCGGCUCGGGAGGCUGAAGCAGGAAGAUGGCAAAUUCGAGGCCGUUUGCAGCAAUUU
This 89-nucleotide small RNA is filed under the name Marmota monax (woodchuck). The record is from RNAcentral. Lineage: Eukaryota; Metazoa; Chordata; Mammalia; Rodentia; Sciuridae.